ACCCGCUGAACUUAAGCAUAUCAAUAAGCGGAGGAAAAGAAACCAACAGGGAUUGCCCUAGUAACGGCGAGUAAAGCGGCAACAGCUUAAAUUUGAAAUCUGGCGCAAGCCCGAGUUGUAAUUUGUAGAGGAUGCUUCUGGGUAGCGACCGAUCUAAGUUCCUUGGAACAGGACGUCAUAGAGGGUGAGAAUCCCGUAUGUGACCGGCCCGCGCCCUUUACGUAGCUCCUUCGACGAGUCGAGUUGUUUAGGAAUGCAGCUCUAAAUGGGAGGUAAAUUUCUUCUAAAGCUAAAUACCGGCCAGAGACCGAUAGCGCACAAGUAGAGUGAUCGAAAGAUGAAAAGUACUUUGGAAAGAGAGUUAAAAAGCACGUGAAAUUGUUGAAAGGGAAGCGCCUACAACCAGACUUCGCGGCAGUGUUCCGCCGGUCUCCUGACCGGUUCAUUCUCUGUCGCGAGGCCAUUAUCGUCUAGGCCCGCCGGAUAAGACCUUAGGAAUGUAGCUCACCUUCGGGGGAGUGUUAUAGCCUAUGGUGAUGCGGCGAGGCUCGGGCGAGGUCCGCGCUUCGGCAAGGAUAAUGGCGUAAUGGUUGU
RNAcentral lists this ribosomal RNA (594 nucleotides) under uncultured fungus. RNAcentral describes it as "eukaryotic LSU rRNA". It matches the Rfam family "Eukaryotic large subunit ribosomal RNA", at positions 23 to 641 of the family's 3401-position model. Lineage: Eukaryota; Fungi. The record is from RNAcentral.